RNAcentral lists this ribosomal RNA (434 nucleotides) under uncultured bacterium. RNAcentral's name for it is "partial 16S ribosomal RNA". It matches the Rfam family "Bacterial small subunit ribosomal RNA", at positions 29 to 507 of the family's 1533-position model. The record is from RNAcentral.
AGCGAACGCUGGCGGCAGGCCUAACACAUGCAAGUCGAACGAACCUUUCGGGGUUAGUGGCGGACGGGUGAGUAACACGUGGGAACGUGCCUUAAGGUUCGGAAUACCCCAGGGAAACUUGGGCUAAAACCGAAGGUGCCCUCCGGGGAAAAGAUUAAUCCCCUUUAGAGCGGCCCGCGUCUGAUUAGCUAGUUGGUUGAGGUAAUGGCUCACCAAGGCGACGAUCAGUAGCUGGUCUGAGAGGAUGAUCAGCCACAUUGGGACUGAGACACGGCCCAAACUCCUACGGGAGGCAGCAGUGGGGAAUCUUGCGCAAUGGGCGAAAGCCUGACGCAGCCAUGCCGCGUGAAUGAUGAAGGUCUUAGGAUUGUAAAAUUCUUUCACCGGGGACGAUAAUGACGGUACCCGGAGAAGAAGCCCCGGCUAACUUCGUG